RNAcentral lists this ribosomal RNA (484 nucleotides) under uncultured bacterium. RNAcentral describes it as "partial 16S ribosomal RNA". It matches the Rfam family "Bacterial small subunit ribosomal RNA", at positions 30 to 507 of the family's 1533-position model. The record is from RNAcentral.
AUUGAACGCUAGCGGGAUGCUUUACACAUGCAAGUCGAACGGCAGCGCGGACUUCGGUCUGGAGGCGAGUGGCGAACGGGAGAGUAAUGUAUCGGAACGUGCCCAGUAGCGGGGGAUAAAUACGCGAAAGCGUAGCUAAUACCGCAUACGCCCUACGGGGGAAAGCAGGGGAUCGUAAGACCUUGCACUAGUGGAGCGGCCGAUAUCGGAUUAGCUAGUUGGUGAGGUAACGGCUCACCAAGGCGACGAUCCGUAGCUGGUUUGAGAGGACGACCAGCCACACUGGGUCUGAGACACGGCCCAGACUCCUACGGGAGGCAGCAGUGGGGAAUUUUGGACAAUGGGGGCAACCCUGAUCCAGCCAUCCCGCGUGUGCGAUGAAGGCCUUCGGGUUGUAAAGCACUUUUGGCAGGAAAGAAACGUCGCGGGCUAAUACCCCGUGGAACUGACGGUACCUGCAGAAUAAGCACCGGCUAACUACGUG